RNAcentral lists this ribosomal RNA (359 nucleotides) under uncultured bacterium. RNAcentral's name for it is "partial 16S ribosomal RNA". It matches the Rfam family "Bacterial small subunit ribosomal RNA", at positions 338 to 694 of the family's 1533-position model. The record is from RNAcentral.
CCUACGGGGGGCAGCAGUGAGGAAUAUUGGUCAAUGGGCGGAAGCCUGAACCAGCCAAGUAGCGUGCAGGAUGACGGCCCUACGGGUUGUAAACUGCUUUUAUACGGGAAUACCGCGCCUUACGUGUAGGUCUUUGCAUUUACCGUAUGAAUAAGGACCGGCUAAUUCCGUGCCAGCAGCCGCGGUAAUACGGAAGGUCCGGGCGUUAUCCGGAUUUAUUGGGUUUAAAGGGAGCGUAGGCCGCAUGUCAAGCGUGCUGUGAAAUGUCCGGGCUCAACCCGGGCCUUGAAGCGCGAACUGGCGAGCUUGAGGCCGCGGAAAGAAGGCGGAAUUCGACGUGUAGCGGUGAAAGGAUUAGA